CAGUAGCCGCGGUAAAACGGAGGGUGCAAGCGUUAAUCGGAAUUACUGGGCGUAAAGGGUGCGUAGGUGGUUGAAUAAGUUAGCUGUGAAAUCCCUGGGCUUAACCUAGGGCGGUCAGCUAAGACUGUUGAACUCGAGUAUAGGAGAGGGUAGUGGAAUUUCCGGUGUAGCGGUGAAAUGCGUAGAGAUCGGAAGGAACACCAGUGGCGAAGGCGGCUACCUGGCCUAAUACUGACACUGAGGCACGAAAGCGUGGGGAGCAAACAGGAUUAGAUACCCCGGUAGUCCCUGUCUCUUAUAC
This 301-nucleotide ribosomal RNA is filed under the name uncultured bacterium. RNAcentral's name for it is "partial 16S ribosomal RNA". It matches the Rfam family "Bacterial small subunit ribosomal RNA", at positions 509 to 807 of the family's 1533-position model. The record is from RNAcentral.